RNAcentral lists this ribosomal RNA (443 nucleotides) under uncultured bacterium. RNAcentral describes it as "partial 16S ribosomal RNA". It matches the Rfam family "Bacterial small subunit ribosomal RNA", at positions 338 to 795 of the family's 1533-position model. The record is from RNAcentral.
CCUACGGGAGGCAGCAGUGGGGAAUAUUGGGCAAUGGGCGCAAGCCUGACCCAGCAACGCCGCGUGAAGGAAGAAGGCUCUCGGGUUGUAAACUUCUUUUAUCAGGGACGAAGCAAGUGACGGUACCUGAUGAAUAAGCCACGGCUAACUACGUGCCAGCAGCCGCGGUAAUACGUAGGUGGCAAGCGUUAUCCGGAUUUACUGGGUGUAAAGGGCGUGUAGGCGGGAAAGCAAGUCAGAUGUGAAAACCAUGGGCUCAACCUGUGGACUGCCUUUGAAACUGGUUUUCUUGAGUACUGGAGAGGCAGACGGAAUUCGUAGUGUAGCGGUGAAAGGCGUAGAUAUUAGGAGGAACACCAGUGGCGAAGGCGGUCUGCUGGACAGCAACUGACGCUGAGGCGCGAAAGCGUGGGGAGCAAACAGGAUUAGAUACCCCAGUAGUC